This 73-nucleotide transfer RNA is filed under the name Rhinolophus ferrumequinum (greater horseshoe bat). It matches the Rfam family "tRNA". From Rfam's summary of the family: Transfer RNA (tRNA) molecules are approximately 80 nucleotides in length. Lineage: Eukaryota; Metazoa; Chordata; Mammalia; Chiroptera; Rhinolophidae. RNAcentral also lists the same sequence under 1 other name. The record is from Rfam by way of RNAcentral.
UAGAUUGAAGCCAGUUGAUUAGGGUAUUUAGCUGUUAACUAAAAUUUCGUGGGAUACAAGCCCACCAGUCUAG